GGAAGUGUGUGCUAGUGAUGGCACAGCUGAACAUUGAUCGCUAACUAGUAGAUAUAUGGCAGAUCUGCUCAGUGGGUGUUGUCACGUGGUCGCUUCAAGUAGCUUGUGCUCGGCUCCCGAUGCGCCUACAAACCGAGGCCUGUCUCGUGGCCCCUGGCACCUGUAGGCCCGCACGGUCGAGUCUUCACGUCGCUCCUCGAACUACCGCGAUUUCCAAAUUGGGGGGCAAUCGAAUAGGUCAGACGAGGUAAUUGUCGCUUCCAUAUACAAGGCGCUGCAGUUCUGCAGUGUGCCCUUUUUGUCG
Nasonia vitripennis (jewel wasp) is the source of this 304-nucleotide non-coding RNA. The record is from Rfam. Lineage: Eukaryota; Metazoa; Arthropoda; Insecta; Hymenoptera; Pteromalidae.